Molecule: long non-coding RNA, 609 nt
Filed under: Oryza sativa aus subgroup
Lineage: Eukaryota; Viridiplantae; Streptophyta; Magnoliopsida; Poales; Poaceae
Description: lncRNA OsNaBo_05g0010470
Source: RNAcentral
GUCGCCGUUUGUUCACAAGGAGAGCGGCAAAGGAGGUCGGGACUCGGUGUAGAGCGACGAGCCCAGCGAAGUAGGCCGAUAGCUAUCCGCCAGAGCAGUGAUGAAGGCCGGCUGGUGGAGCGCCCCUGUCAGCGCAGCUUUGCACGGGAUCUCGCGCGGCCAGACAUAGGAAUCGCACAACCUUCUCAAUCCCGACGCUGCGCCCCGAUCGUCGCCGCUCGCCGUUGGAACCGGCACCACGACAGCCGGGAAGGAACCAGAGGUGCAUCGCUUCCAGCACCAGCGCUCUGUCCCUGCAUCUUCCAUCCCCGGGAAGUAUAUAGCUGUUGGAAAAGAUCACUGUUCUUUGAUAGCUCCUUAGGAGAAAAUAGAAGGCACCAUGUCUUUGGUAUUUUCCUGACAACCUUUUACUGGGGCUCUAAGGAUGAUAAAAUCCUGGAAUUAGAGACAGUAUGGUUUAGCUCUCUUGUACUUAUCCUGGAAUUAUGUGCUUACCUACUGCAUACUGAAGCAAUUGGUUCUUCUAGGUUUAGUUACAUGGUAGCAGAUGCUAUGAGCAAGUACCUCUUAGACAAAAGGCUCAAAGGCACAGUUUUAAUAGAAAGCUGA